RNAcentral lists this ribosomal RNA (487 nucleotides) under uncultured bacterium. Its description in RNAcentral is "partial 16S ribosomal RNA". It matches the Rfam family "Bacterial small subunit ribosomal RNA", at positions 28 to 523 of the family's 1533-position model. The record is from RNAcentral.
GAUAAACGCUGGCGGCGCACAUAAGACAUGCAAGUCGAACGAACUUAAUACCUUGCUUGCAAGGUAAGCGGUUAGUGGCGGACUGGUGAGUAACACGUAAGAAAUCUGCCUAUCAGAGGGGAAUAACAGUGAGAAAUCAUUGCUAAUACCGCAUAUGCCAUAGGAAUCGCAUGAUUCUAGUGGGAAAGGAGUAAUCCGCUGAUAGAUGAGCUUGCGUCUGAUUAGCUAGUUGGUGGGGUAAAGGCCUACCAAGGCGACGAUCAGUAGCCGGACUGAGAGGUUGAACGGCCACAUUGGGACUGAGAUACGGCCCAGACUCCUACGGGAGGCAGCAGUCGGGAAUAUUGCGCAAUGGAGGAAACUCUGACGCAGUGACGCCGCGUAUAGGAAGAAGGUUUUCGGAUUGUAAACCAUUGUCCAUAGGGAAGAUAAAAGACUGUACCUAUGAAGAAAGCUCCGGCUAACUACGUGCCAGCAGCCGCUGUAA